AUCUAAGGGCAUACCACCACUCUGAACUCGCCAGAUCUUGUCUGAUCUCAGAAGUUAAGCAGGGUUGGGCCUGGCUAGUACUUGGAUGGGAGACCACCUGGGAAUACUGGGUGCUGUAGGCU
This is a ribosomal RNA of Callithrix jacchus (white-tufted-ear marmoset), 122 nucleotides long. Lineage: Eukaryota; Metazoa; Chordata; Mammalia; Primates; Cebidae. The record is from Ensembl.